AUGUAUCUCUCCAGAAAUAAGUCUCUCACUGUUGCCGCCUGUUAUAGAUCCCCCUCAGCUUCCAGCUGUGCCCUGGACACCAUAUGUGAAUUGAUUGCCCCUCAUCUAUCUUCAGAGUUCAUUCUGUUAAGUGACCUAAACUGGGAUAUGCUUAACACCCCGAAAGUCCUACAAUCUAAGCUAGAUGCCCUCAAUCUGACACAAAUCAUCAAGGAACCCACCAGGUACAACCCUAAAUCCGUAAACUUGCCCUCUAAAUACACUUCUGCUGUUUUCAAUCAGGAUCUCAGUGAUCACUGCCUCAUUGCCUGCAUCCGCUAUGGGUCCGCGGUCAAACGACCACCCCUCAUCACUGUCAAACGCUCCCUAAAACACUUCUGCGAGCAGGCUUUUCUAAUCGACCUGGCCCGAGUAUCCUGGAAGGAUAUUGACCUCAUCCCGUCAGUCGAGGAUGCCUGGUUGUUCUUUAAAAGUAAUUUCCUCACCAUCUUAAAUCAGCAUGCCCCUUUCAAAAAAUGUAGAACUAAGAACAGAUAUAGCCAUUGGUUCACUCCAGACCUGACUGCCCUUGACAAGCACAAAAACAUCCUGUGGCGGACUGCAAUAGCAUCGAAUAGUUCCCACGAUAUGCAACUGUUCAGGGAAGUCAGGAACCAAUACACGCAGUCAGUCAGGAAAGCAAAAGCUAGCUUUUGCAAACAAAAAUUUGCAUCCUGUAGCUCUAACUCCAAAAAGUUUUGGGACACUGUAAAGUCCAUGGUGAACAAGAGCACCUCCUCCCAGCUGCCCACUGCACUGGGGCUAGGUAACACGGUCACCACCGAUAAAUUCAUGAUAAUCGAACAUUUCAAUAAGCAUUUCUCUGGCAUGCCAUGCCUGCCGCAUGGCUACCCCGGCCAACAGCUCCGCCCCCCUCCCCCCACAGCUACUUGCCCGAGCCUCCCCAGCUUCUCCUUCACCCAAAUCCAGAUAGCAGAUGUUCUGAAAGAGCUGCAAAACCUGGACCUGUACAAAUCAACUGGGCUAGACAAUCUGGACCCUCUCUUUCUAAAACUAUCUGCUUCCAUUGCUGCAACCCCUAUUACCAUUCUGUUCAACCUCUCUUUUGUAUCGUCCGAGAUCCCUAAAGAUUGGAAAGCUGCCGCGGUCAUCCCCCUCUUCAAAGGGGGUGACACUAUAGAUCCAAACUGUUAUAGACCUAUAUCCAUCCUGCCCUGUCUCUCUAAAGUCUUCGAAAACCAAGUUAAUAAACAGAUCACUGACCAUUUCCAAUCCCACCGUACCUUCUCCGCUGUGCAAUCCGGUUUCCGAGCUGGUCAUAGGUGCUCCUCAGCCACGCUCAAGGUACUAAACAAUAUCAUAACCACCAUCGAUAAAAGACAGUACUGUGCAGCCGUCUUCAUCAACCUGGCCAAGGCUUUCGACUCUGUCAAUCAUCGUUUUCUGAUCGGCAAACUCAACAACCUUGGUUUCUCAAAUGACUGCCUUGCCUGGUUCACCAACUACUUCACAGAUAGAGUUCAGUGUGUCAUAUUGGAGGGCCUGUUGUCCGGACCACUGGCAGUCUCUAUGAGGGUACCACAGGGUUAA
This 1590-nucleotide long non-coding RNA is filed under the name Oncorhynchus mykiss (rainbow trout). Its description in RNAcentral is "lncRNA (ENSOMYG00000052373.1)". Lineage: Eukaryota; Metazoa; Chordata; Actinopteri; Salmoniformes; Salmonidae. The record is from RNAcentral.